RNAcentral lists this ribosomal RNA (446 nucleotides) under uncultured bacterium. RNAcentral's name for it is "partial 16S ribosomal RNA". It matches the Rfam family "Bacterial small subunit ribosomal RNA", at positions 338 to 795 of the family's 1533-position model. The record is from RNAcentral.
CCUACGGGUGGCAGCAGUCGAGAAUCACUCACAAUGGGGGAAACCCUGAUGGUGCGACGCCGCGUGGGGGAAUGAAGGUCUUCGGAUUGUAAACCCCUGUCAUGUGGGAGCAAAUUAAAAAGAGAGUACCACAAGAGGAAGAACCGGCUUACUCGGUGCCAGCAGCCGCGGUAAUACAGAAGUCUCAAGCGUUGUUCGUAAUCACUGGGCGUAAAGCGUGCGGAGGCUGUGUCGUAAGUCGUGUGUGAAAGGCGCGGGGCCAACCCGCGGACGGCACAUGAUACUGCGAGACUAGAGUAAUGGAGAGGGAACCGGAAUGCUCGGUGUAGCAGUGAAAUGCGUAGAUAUCGCGCGGAACACUGGUGGCGAAGGCGGGUUACUGGACAUUAACUGACGCUGAGGCACGAAGGCCAGGGGAGCGAAAGGGAUUAGAUACCCUAGUAGUC